UACGUAGGGUGCGAGCGUUAAUCGGAAUUACUGGGCGUAAAGUGUGCGCAGGCGGCAGAGCAAGUCGAGUGUGAAAGCCCCGGGCUUAACUUGGGAAUUGCGCUCGAAACUACUUUGCUGGAGUGUGGCAGAGGAAGGUGGAAUUCCACGUGUAGCGGUGAAAUGCAUAGAUACAAUCAAGAACUCCGAUUGCGUAGGCAGCUAACUAGGCUGUAACUGACGCUGAGGCACGAAAGCGUGGGGAGCGAACAGG
Molecule: ribosomal RNA, 253 nt
Filed under: uncultured bacterium
Lineage: Bacteria
Description: partial 16S ribosomal RNA
Rfam family: Bacterial small subunit ribosomal RNA
Source: RNAcentral